CCUACGUGUGGCAGCAGUGAGGAAUAUUGGUCAAUGGGCGCGAGCCUGAACCAGCCAAGUAGCGUGAAGGAUGACUGCCCUACGGGUUGUAAACUUCUUUUAUAAAGGAAUAAAGUGAGGCACGUGUGCCUUUUUGUAUGUACUUUAUGAAUAAGGAUCGGCUAACGCCGUGCCAGCAGCCGCGGUAAUACGGAGGAUCCGAGCGUUAUCCGGAUUUAUUGGGUUUAAAGGGAGCGUAGAUGGGUUGUUAAGUCAGUUGUGAAAGUUUGCGGCUCAACCGUAAAAUUGCAAUUGAUACUGGCAGUCUUGAGUACAGUUGAGGUAGGCGGAAUUCGUGGUGUAGCGGUGAAAUGCUUAGAUAUCACGAAGAACUCCGAUUGCGAAGGCAGCUUACUAAACUGCCACUGACAUUGAUGCUCGAAAGUGUGUGUAUCAAACAGGAUUAGAUACCCUUGUAGUC
RNAcentral lists this ribosomal RNA (460 nucleotides) under uncultured bacterium. Its description in RNAcentral is "partial 16S ribosomal RNA". It matches the Rfam family "Bacterial small subunit ribosomal RNA", at positions 338 to 795 of the family's 1533-position model. The record is from RNAcentral.